UCCGGCUUGUCACCGGCAGUUUCUUCAGAGUGCCCAGCUUCACCUGAUGGCAACUGAAGAUGAGGGUUGCGCUCGUUGCGGGACUUAAGGCAACACCUCACGGCACGAGCUGACGACAGCCAUGCAGCACCUGUGCAGGCUCCCGAAGGAGCCCCGUGUUUCCACGGGUUUACCCUGCAUGUCAAGCCCUGGUAAGGUUCUUCGUUUAUCAUCGAAUUAAAGAACACGCUCCACCGCUUGUGCGGGUCCCCGUCAACUCCUUUAUGUUUUAGCCUUGCGGCCGUACUCCACAGGCGGGAUGCUUAACGCGUUAGCUUCGCUACGGAGGGGGUCGAUACCCCCCACAGCUAGCAUCCAUCGUUUACGGCGUGGACUAC
RNAcentral lists this unclassified non-coding RNA (377 nucleotides) under uncultured bacterium. RNAcentral describes it as "contains 16S-23S intergenic spacer region". The record is from RNAcentral.